CCCGGAAGCCGAAGCCCGGUUGGGAGGAAGCAGCUGAGACCCGGCCAACAAACGGGGUUAAUUUAGCCAGAAAAGCGGGCGGGAAGGGCUGUAGGGUACUUGUCAAUUCGCCGCCAUGAACGUGGUUUUUGCUGUGAAGCAGUACAUUUCCAAAAUGAUAGAGGACAGCGGGCCUGGUAUGAAAGUACUUCUCAUGGAUAAAGAGACGACUGGCAUAGUGAGUAUGGUCUACACACAAUCGGAGAUUCUACAGAAGGAAGUGUACCUCUUUGAACGCAUUGAUUCUCAAAAUCGAGAGGUCAUGAAACACCUGAAGGCAAUUUGUUUUCUUCGACCUACAAAGGAGAAUGUGGAUUAUAUGAUUCAGGAGCUCCGAAGACCCAAAUACACUAUAUAUUUCAUUUAUUUCAGUAAUGUGAUCAGCAAGAGUGACGUGAAGUCAUUGGCUGAAGCUGAUGAACAGGAAGUUGUGGCUGAGGUUCAGGAAUUUUAUGGUGAUUACAUUGCUGUGAACCCACAUUUGUUUUCCCUCAAUAUUUUGGGUUGCUGCCAGGGUCGAAAUUGGGAUCCAGCCCAGCUAUCUAGAACAACCCAAGGGCUUACAGCUCUCCUUUUAUCUCUGAAGAAGUGUCCCAUGAUUCGUUAUCAGCUCUCAUCAGAGGCAGCAAAGAGACUUGCAGAGUGCGUUAAGCAAGUGAUAACUAAAGAAUAUGAACUGUUUGAAUUCCGUCGGACAGAGGUUCCUCCAUUGCUCCUUAUUUUAGAUCGCUGUGAUGAUGCCAUCACCCCAUUGCUAAACCAGUGGACAUAUCAGGCCAUGGUCCAUGAACUACUAGGCAUAAACAACAAUCGGAUUGAUCUUUCCAGAGUGCCGGGGAUCAGUAAAGACUUAAGAGAAGUGGUCCUAUCUGCUGAAAAUGAUGAAUUCUAUGCUAAUAAUAUGUACCUGAACUUUGCUGAGAUUGGUAGCAAUAUAAAGAAUCUCAUGGAAGAUUUUCAGAAGAAGAAACCAAAAGAACAGCAAAAACUAGAAUCAAUAGCAGACAUGAAGGCGUUUGUUGAGAAUUAUCCACAGUUCAAGAAAAUGUCUGGGACUGUUUCAAAGCAUGUGACAGUGGUUGGAGAACUGUCUCGAUUGGUCAGUGAGCGGAAUCUGCUGGAGGUUUCAGAGGUUGAGCAAGAACUGGCCUGUCAAAAUGACCAUUCUAGUGCUCUCCAGAAUAUAAAAAGGCUUCUGCAGAACCCCAAAGUGACAGAGUUUGAUGCUGCCCGCCUGGUGAUGCUUUAUGCUUUACAUUAUGAGCGACACAGCAGCAAUAGCCUGCCAGGACUAAUGAUGGACCUCAGGAAUAAAGGUGUUUCUGAGAAGUAUCGAAAGCUCGUGUCUGCAGUUGUUGAAUAUGGUGGUAAACGAGUCAGAGGAAGUGACCUCUUCAGCCCCAAAGAUGCUGUAGCUAUCACCAAACAAUUCCUCAAAGGACUGAAGGGAGUAGAAAAUGUAUAUACACAGCAUCAACCUUUCCUACAUGAAACCCUGGAUCAUCUCAUCAAAGGAAGGCUUAAGGAAAGCCUAUAUCCUUAUCUAGGCCCCAGCACACUCAGAGACAGAUGUUGAUUGAAUGCUUUCAGUAUGUCAAGAGCUGUUGUAGAUGCUGGCGAUAUAGAAGUGACAGGAAAGACAAGAAUUGCCUCUUGUCUCUGAUAAAGGCAAGCAACUUUUUCAUUUGGUGAGGAAAUGGAGCUAUAUGAUCAUGCAUUCCAGAAUCAGUCAAUUCAAAAAGGAAGUACUUUUCAUGUUUAUAGAAAUGUAGUAGAAGCUUGUUGCUACAGCUUAUAUUUUGUUUCUGUGAAGCAGCAGUCCUUUUUCAUUGGCCUUUUUUCCUGCAGUAAAUGCUCAUAAGAACUGUGUACCAUUUGUAAGUAUGUUCAAAAAUUACAAUUUUAGCCGUAAGUGUAAUGCUCCACAAAAUAGAUAAAAUGUUGCCUUUUGAAAGUUUGUGUUUCCACCUAACUUAACCACAUAUAGAAAUAAUGUUUAAAAUUCUCAAUAAGGCGGGCAAUGUGGCUCAUGCCUGUAAUCCCAACACUUUAAGAGACUGAGGUGGGCGGAUCAGAGGUCAGGAGUUCGAAACUAGCCUGGCCAACGUAGUGAAACCUUGUGUCUACUAAAAAAAAAUACAAAAAUUAGCCGGGUGUGGUGGCAGGCAUGGUGGCAGACUCCUGCAGUCCCAGCUACUUGGGAGGCUGAGGCAGUAGAAUCGGUUGAACCCGGGAGGCAGAGGUUGUAGUGAGCCAAGAUUGCACCACUGCAGUCCAGCCUGGGUGACAGAGUGAGACUCCGUUAAAAAAAAAAAAAAAAAACCUCAACAAACUUGGUAUUGAAGGAACAUACCUCAAAAUAAUAAGAGCCAUCUAUUCCCGGUACUCUGGGAGGCCGAGGCAGGCGGAUCAUGAGGUCAGGAGAUCGAGACCAUCCUGGCUAACACGGUAAAACCCUGUCUCUACUAAAAAUACAAAAAAUUAGCCGGGCGUGGUGGUGGGUGGCUGUAGCCCCAGCUACUCAGGAGGCUGAGACAGGAGAAUGGCGUGAACCCGGGAGGCAGAGCUUGCAGUGAGCCAAAAUCGAGCCACUGCUCUCCAGCCUGGGGGACAGAGCGAGACUCCGUCUCAAAAAAAAAAAAGAGCCGUCUAUGACAAACCCACAGCCAACAUCAUACUGAAUGGGCAAAAGCUGGAAGCAUUCCCCUUGAAAACCGGUACAAGGCAAGGAUGCCCUCUCUCACCACUUCUAUUCAACAGAGUAUUGGAAGUCCUAGCCAGAGCAAUCAGGCAAGAGAUAGAAAUAAAGUGCAUCCAAAUAGGGAAACAGGAAGUUAAACUGUUUUUAGACGACAUGAUUCUGUAUCUAGAAAACCCCAUAGUCUCAACUCAAAAGCUCCUUCAGCUGAUAAACAACUUCAGCAAAGUUGCAGGAUACAAGUCAAUGUACAAAAAUCACUAGCAUUCCUAUACAGCGACAACAACCAAGCUGAAAGCCAAAUCAGAAAGCAAUCCCAUUCACAACUGCCACUAAAAAAAUAAAAUACCUAGGAAUACAGCUAACCAGGAAGGUGAAAGAGCUCUACAAUGAGAAUUACAAAACACUGUUCAAAGAAAUUAGAGAAGCCACAAACAAAUGGAAAACAUCCCAUGCUCAUGGAUAGGAAGAAUCAAUAUCAUUAAAAUGGCUAUACUGCCCAAAGCAGUUUACAGAUUCAAUGCUAUUCCUACCUAACUACCAAUGACAUUCUUCACAGAACUAGAAAAAAUUAUUUUAAAAUUCAUGUGGAACCAAAAAAAAGCCCAAAUAGCCAAGGCAAUCCUAAGCAAAAAGAACAAAGCUGGAAGAAUCACGUUACCCAACUUCAAACUAUGCUACAAGCCUACAGUGACCAAAACAGCAUGGUAUGGGUACAAAAACAGGCACAUAGACCAAUGGAACAGAAUAGAGAGCCCAGAAAUAAGGCCUCACAUCUAUGACCAUCUGAUCUUUGACAAAGCUGACAAAAACAAGCAAUGGGGAAAAGACUCAUUCAAUAAAUGGUGCUGAAAUAACUGACUAGCCAUAUGCAAAAGAUUGAAGCUGGACCCCUUCCUUAUACCAUAUACAAAAAUUUCAACUCAAGAUUGAUUAAAGACAAAUGUAAAACCCAAAACUAUAAAAACCCUGGAAGACAACCUAGGUAAUACCAUUCUGGACCUAGGAACAGGCUAAGAUUUCAUGACAAAAAAACUAUGCAUCUGAGAAAGGUCUAAUAUCCAGCAUCUAUAAAGAAUUUAAACAAAUUUACAAGAGAAAAACAACUUCAUUAAAAUAUGGGAGGCCGAGGCAGGUUGGAUCACCUAAUGUCAGGAAUUCGAGACCAGCCUAGCCAACAUGGUGAAACCCUGUCUCUACUAAAAAUACAAAAAAUUAGCCACGAGUGGUGGCUGGCACCUGUAAUCAUGCCACGGGAGGCUGAGGCAGGAGAAUCACUUGAACCCGGGAGAUGGAGGUUGCUGUGAGCUGAGAUUGUGCCAUUGCACUCCAGCCUGGGCAACAAGAGCAAAACCCUGUCGCAAAAAAAAAAAAAAGUGGGCAAAGGACAUGAACAGCUACUU
Symphalangus syndactylus (siamang) is the source of this 4140-nucleotide RNA transcript. It is a transcript of the gene named vacuolar protein sorting 45 homolog, with no coding region annotated. The record is from RefSeq and is a predicted model, not a curated record. NCBI's taxonomy places the organism in Eukaryota, Metazoa, Chordata, Mammalia, Primates, Hylobatidae.